GUGUCCGAAGCCUGUGCUCCUCGCAACGGGAGAGGCCACAACAGUGAGAGGCCCGCGUACCGCAAAAACAAACAAACAAAAACUCUCCUUCGAACUCUUAUUUUACCAACAGCAUGUUUUUAUUAGGUUGUUCCAUUGCAUGAAGUAACUGGGAUGAAUUUCCUUCUGCUCCUGGGGUCAUAUUUCCUUUUAAGUUAGGUUCUAUCUCUUUUCCCUUCCUUUUUAAACUUUUUAUGGAGGUAUGAUUUACAUAUAGGUAAGUGUACCUAUUAUAAUUGCAUAGCUCAGUGAAUUUUCACAAAGCUAACACGCCCAUGCAACCAGUACCCAGGAAGCACAACACCAACAGGCCCCUGGGCCCCCAGCCCUCCCCCAGCCAUGACACCCUGCAGCGUCACCACUGGCCUGGCUUCUGACAACAUGGGCCACUUUUGUCUCGUCCAUUCUGUGUAAAAGUGAGAGCUGUAAUGUGACUGCUUCUCUUGCUCCUGUUGUGUGAGACUCUCCUGGGUUGUGUAUGGCUGUGGAAGGUUUAUGAUAUCCCUGGUGUGAACGUACUGCGAUCUGUUUAUUUACCCAUCAUGCUGGGGUUGGCAUUUCUGUGGUUUCCAGUUUCCAGCUGUUGUGAUUCGUCCUGCUGUGAACAUUCCCACUGUGCGUCUUUAGAGUAUAAAAGAUGCGUUUCUGUCAGAAUAGACCUAAACCUGGGAUGGCCGAGUAUUAUGGUAUGCAUAUGUUUAACUUAAGAAGAUACUCCAAAAUUGUUUUCAGUUUACGCUCUCACUGCAAAGAUCAGGAGUUCUGUUUGCCCACAUCCACAUCAACGUUUGGUUCUUGCUGUUUUGUAUUCUAGCCGUUCUGGAAAGUAUAGUGUAGUUGAAUUUGCAUUUUUCUGAUGACUAAUGAGAUUGAACACCUUUGUCCAUUUUUCAUAGGUUGAAUUUAUUUUACUGGUCAGUAUUUUACUGGUCUGGAAAGUAUAGUGUAGUUGAAUUUGCAUUUUUCUGAUGACUAAUGAGAUUGAACACCUUUGUCCAUUUUUCAUUAGGUUGAGUUUAUUUUACUGGUCAGUAGGAGUGUUUGAAAAAUGUAUUCUGGCUGUGAAUCCCUUGUCAGAAAUACGUAUUGUGAGUAUCUACGCUUGUCUGUGUUGCCUUUCACCCCAUUAAUAGUAUUUCUAAGAACAGAAGCCCUUCAUUUUAACACAGUCCAAGUAAAUGAUGGGUGUUCAUGGCAGGGACUCUGGGUGUGUUGAACAAGUCUCUGCCUGUCCCAGGGUGGGGCUGUCCCCUGAGGCUCCACCGUCUUACCUCUGAUGUUGGUGGCUGCCAUCCCGCUGGGAUGAGGGAUGGCGGGAGGGGUCAAGACACAUUUUUUGCCAAGUAGAUAUGCAGUGGGAGACCCCCUUUCCCAGCAUUGCUCUGUCACCCUUGUCGCGGCCCAAGGACCACACAGCCUCCCACCUGCAUGCUUUCUCCUUUGCAGGUGGGUCUGCCCAGUGCUUGCAGGUGGCGCUGCUGCAUUUCCCUGCGUCUUGCUCACACCCAGGCAGAUCCGCCUGCACGUAUUCUGUGCUCUGACAGAGUCUGGUGAGGCCUGGCUUCUCCAAGCUGGACCUUUUGUUUUCCUCUCAGCCUACUCAUGGAGGGAGGGGCCCUUGGGUUCCUGACCCUGUCCUGUAACCUGAGCUCCGGGAGGAGCAGGAGGGGGAGUGUGGGCUGCGCAGACCCCUUGCCAGGUGGUCCAUUGCCCAGGGAGCUGUCCUCCCCUCCCACGGGUGACGUGCACACUCCUGGUCCUGCCGGGCCCCUGCUGGCCCCAGAGCCUCACUUCUGUCCAGUGGGUUGGUGCCCAGUCCCGCCUCCUCUCCCCUCGAAAGUCCUGCUCCAGGCAGAAGUGGAAAGAAGGCGUCAUGGAUGGACCUAGAGUCUGGCAUACAGAGUGAAGACCAAGAUUGCCUGUCCAUCCACCCGUUUGCGGGGCCUCCAGGGGCUCCUGAACCUGGUCUGACUGCGCCGCUCUGGCUUAAGAUGCCUCCAGCAUUUCAUCAGUCUGCUAAUAUGAACAACUUGUCUUUUUAGGUGGUCUUAUUUUUGCCACAGCAUGCUUUGCCUUUUGGGGACUUCUUAAUGGUAAUCAAUUACAUUUCUGAGAAUUUGG
Aethalodelphis obliquidens (Pacific white-sided dolphin) is the source of this 2160-nucleotide long non-coding RNA. RefSeq lists it as uncharacterized. NCBI's taxonomy places the organism in Eukaryota, Metazoa, Chordata, Mammalia, Artiodactyla, Delphinidae. The transcript is spliced from 2 exons. The record is from RefSeq and is a predicted model, not a curated record.